RNAcentral lists this small nucleolar RNA (137 nucleotides) under Ornithorhynchus anatinus (platypus). The record is from RNAcentral. Lineage: Eukaryota; Metazoa; Chordata; Mammalia; Monotremata; Ornithorhynchidae.
CACCUUCAUGGUUACACCUGGAGAGUUUCCAGUACUUUACCAGUCUUGACUAUGGGAGGGAGAGUCAAGCAGAGGCAUAUCCAUUCCAUUUCUAGCUUGGCCAGUGGCUAGUAUGUGGAAGGCAUUCUGCUACAAGU